This 66-nucleotide transfer RNA is filed under the name Dipodomys ordii (Ord's kangaroo rat). It matches the Rfam family "tRNA". From Rfam's summary of the family: Transfer RNA (tRNA) molecules are approximately 80 nucleotides in length. Their secondary structure includes four short double-helical elements and three loops (D, anti-codon, and T loops). The record is from Rfam by way of RNAcentral. Lineage: Eukaryota; Metazoa; Chordata; Mammalia; Rodentia; Heteromyidae.
UGUAUAGCUUAAGUGGUACAGCACAUGCCUAGCAAGCAUGAGAUCUUGGGUUGAAUCCCUAAUACA